UCCGUAGGCGGACUAAUAAGUCAUGGGUGAAAUCCAACAGCUUAACUAUUGAACUGCCUUUGAUACUGUUAGUCUUGAAUUAUAUGGAGGUAGAUAGAAUGUGUAGUGUAGCGGUGAAAUGCUUAGAGAUUACACAGAAUACCGAUUGCGAAGGCAGUCUACUACGUAUAUAUUGACGCUAAUUGACGAAAGCGUGGGUAGCGAACAGGAUUAGAUACCCUGGUAGUCC
Molecule: ribosomal RNA, 229 nt
Filed under: uncultured bacterium
Lineage: Bacteria
Description: partial 16S ribosomal RNA
Rfam family: Bacterial small subunit ribosomal RNA
Source: RNAcentral